RNAcentral lists this ribosomal RNA (1362 nucleotides) under Nocardia cyriacigeorgica. RNAcentral describes it as "bacterial SSU rRNA". It matches the Rfam family "Bacterial small subunit ribosomal RNA", at positions 65 to 1443 of the family's 1533-position model. The record is from RNAcentral. Lineage: Bacteria; Bacillati; Actinomycetota; Actinomycetes; Mycobacteriales; Nocardiaceae.
AGCGGUAAGGCCCUUCGGGGUACACGAGCGGCGAACGGGUGAGUAACACGUGGGUGAUCUGCCUCGCACUCUGGGAUAAGCCUGGGAAACUGGGUCUAAUACCGGAUAUGACCUUACAUCGCAUGGUGUUUGGUGGAAAGAUUUAUCGGUGCGAGAUGGGCCCGCGGCCUAUCAGCUUGUUGGUGGGGUAAUGGCCUACCAAGGCGACGACGGGUAGCCGGCCUGAGAGGGCGACCGGCCACACUGGGACUGAGACACGGCCCAGACUCCUACGGGAGGCAGCAGUGGGGAAUAUUGCACAAUGGGCGAAAGCCUGAUGCAGCGACGCCGCGUGAGGGAUGACGGCCUUCGGGUUGUAAACCUCUUUCGACAGGGACGAAGCGCAAGUGACGGUACCUGUAGAAGAAGCACCGGCCAACUACGUGCCAGCAGCCGCGGUAAUACGUAGGGUGCGAGCGUUGUCCGGAAUUACUGGGCGUAAAGAGCUUGUAGGCGGCUUGUCGCGUCGAUCGUGAAAACUUGGGGCUCAACCCCAAGCUUGCGGUCGAUACGGGCAGGCUUGAGUACUUCAGGGGAGACUGGAAUUCCUGGUGUAGCGGUGAAAUGCGCAGAUAUCAGGAGGAACACCGGUGGCGAAGGCGGGUCUCUGGGAAGUAACUGACGCUGAGAAGCGAAAGCGUGGGUAGCGAACAGGAUUAGAUACCCUGGUAGUCCACGCCGUAAACGGUGGGUACUAGGUGUGGGUUUCCUUCCACGGGAUCCGUGCCGUAGCUAACGCAUUAAGUACCCCGCCUGGGGAGUACGGCCGCAAGGCUAAAACUCAAAGGAAUUGACGGGGGCCCGCACAAGCGGCGGAGCAUGUGGAUUAAUUCGAUGCAACGCGAAGAACCUUACCUGGGUUUGACAUACACCGGAAACCUGCAGAGAUGUAGGCCCCCUUGUGGUCGGUGUACAGGUGGUGCAUGGCUGUCGUCAGCUCGUGUCGUGAGAUGUUGGGUUAAGUCCCGCAACGAGCGCAACCCUUAUCUUAUGUUGCCAGCGCGUAAUGGCGGGGACUCGUGAGAGACUGCCGGGGUCAACUCGGAGGAAGGUGGGGACGACGUCAAGUCAUCAUGCCCCUUAUGUCCAGGGCUUCACACAUGCUACAAUGGCCGGUACAGAGGGCUGCGAUACCGUGAGGUGGAGCGAAUCCCUUAAAGCCGGUCUCAGUUCGGAUCGGGGUCUGCAACUCGACCCCGUGAAGUUGGAGUCGCUAGUAAUCGCAGAUCAGCAACGCUGCGGUGAAUACGUUCCCGGGCCUUGUACACACCGCCCGUCACGUCAUGAAAGUCGGUAACACCCGAAGCCGGUGGCCUAACCCCU